Heterocephalus glaber (naked mole-rat) is the source of this 1677-nucleotide non-coding RNA. The record is from RefSeq and is a predicted model, not a curated record. NCBI's taxonomy places the organism in Eukaryota, Metazoa, Chordata, Mammalia, Rodentia, Bathyergidae.
ACAUCAUGUACAGGUACAAACACCCAAUGAUAAAUGUAAAUGAAUUGUAUACCUAAAAUGUACCAAUAAAAGAACUAAAGAAAAAAGAAAUAGUGUCUGACUCCACCUUCUUCCCAGCUGGAGGACCUGGAGGUCAAUGUGGCUGAUCACAUCCAGAAGGUCAUGAAAGUGAACUUUGAAGCUGCCUGGGAUGAGGUGGGGGACGAGUUUGAAAAGGAGGAGACAUUCACGCUAUCCACCAUCAAGACGCUGGAAGAGGCUGUGGGCAACAUUGUGAAGUUCUUGGGAAUGCAUGCGUGUGAGAGGUCAGACAAAGUGCCAGACAACAAGAACACACACACACUGCUCCUGGCAGGCGGGCUCCGGGGUGGUCAUGACAUCCUCGUGCGCUCGUGGCUGCUGCUUUUGGACACAGUGACAAUGCAGGUGACAGCCCAAAGUUCAGAGGAGUUGCCAGUCGACAUCAUCUUGGCAUCUGUGGGCUAAGAGGCCCCCACAGAGGCCCAUCCUCCUCCCCAACACUAUGCAGAAGUCUCGCCUUUCUUUAGCACGAGUCUGGUGGAAACCCCUUCCCCAGCUUCUGUAUUCAGACACAGACGAAUCAUUAUGGCUUUUGUUUUGAAUUCUGUACCCUCAUUCAGAACUGCUGGAAGGUAGCUUUUUAAAACAGGAUUAUUUUAGGUUUUCCUAGAUCAUGCUGUCUUGCCUGUGAGGGAAGAGACAUCACAAAUGAAUAAAGUUCAUACCUCUUCUUGAAUUUAUCCCCAAAGAAACAUAUCCCCUCCCUAUAUAAUAAACAAGCAUGUAUUUAUGGACUGACAUCUUCUUCAGCAGGCUCAUCCUUGGGGCUCCACCUUCCCGCUCCUGUCCCCUCUACACCCACAGCCCUGCCCAGGACCCAGCCCCUCGGGUGCCUUCACGGCCGUCCUCUGUAAAUGAUAAAUGGGGGUCCCAGUGGUCGGGGGUUAAUGCCCGGGUUUCUGCUCCGUUAGUUGGGUCCAGUGAGUGGCAAGCCAGGAGUGGCCCAAAUACACCGGAAGUGCCUGUUUCUAAAGCGGGAGCCUCGUCGCGGUCAGGAGGAUCCCAAGUUCAAUCUGGUGGGACCCUGGCUCAAAAUAAUAAAAAGAUGAGGCAGCUCUGCAGAGGCCCUAGGAUUCCACUCCGGUACCGGUACAUAUGCAGGGUCAGCCCUAGGACAUUGGGAUUGUUUGCCAGCAUGGGAGAGCCGAAGGUCUCGCUCUGGUGCUCAAUGGUUUAGGCCACUGGUAUGGGCCAGCAGUUUCCCCUUUUCUCCAGUUGGCCCACCCUGAACAUCCACGUGGGUUGAAAUUGAGAAAGCAGGGUGCCCAGGAGCCAGCGAGGGGUGGGGGGUGGGGGUGUUAACCUCGCCAGUCUGAGACGCUCCCGGCCACGCGUCCCUUCAGGCGCUGUCUCGGGUACUUCCGGAAGGCCCUCAGCCCCGAGGGGCCGCGCCGCUUGGGGGCGGGGCCUAUCCCGGGGCCGGGCCUGGCGCCUGAGCGAGAUUGGCAGGGUUGAGAGCACACCCCCAUAGUGAGGGAGGCGACACUAGGCUGGCUCCCCGGCUGAGAAAAGGGCGAGCGCGGCGACGAUGUGUGGGCGGACGUCCUGCCAUCUGCCCAGGGACGCGCUGACCAGGGCCUGCGCCUACCGCGACCG